Molecule: ribosomal RNA, 487 nt
Filed under: uncultured bacterium
Lineage: Bacteria
Description: partial 16S ribosomal RNA
Rfam family: Bacterial small subunit ribosomal RNA
Source: RNAcentral
CAGGCCUAACACAUGCAAGUCGAGGGGUAACAGGGGUGCUUGCACCCGCUGACGACCGGCGCACGGGUGAGUAACGCGUAUACCACCUGCCUUCUACUGGGGAAUAGCCCGGGGAAACCCGGAUUAAUGCCCCAUGGCGCCCAAGGGGGGCAUCCCUUUUGGGCCAAAGCAUUUUGCGGUGGAAGAUGGGUAUGCGUCCCAUUAGCUGGUUGGCAAGGUAACGGCUUACCAAGGCUACGAUGGGUAGGGGCCCUGAGAGGGGGGACCCCCACACUGGUACUGAGACACGGACCAGACUCCUACGGGAGGCAGCAGUGAGGAAUAUUGGACAAUGGGGGCAACCCUGAUCCAGCCAUGCCGCGUGCGGAAAGAAGGCCCUACGGGUCGUAAAACCGCUUUUACACGGGAAGAACCCCCCCGACGCGUCGGGGGUUGACGGUACCGUGCGAAUAAGGAUCGGCUAACUCCGUGCCAGCAGCCGCGGUAA